GCCCCUUAUUCCUAAACUGUUAGGACCAAAACUCCCAAAAUCAAACCCAACCUUCCUUUUAUGGUCAUAAACCUUGUGUUUAAAUUUCAUAGAUUUCUAUUUACUUAUACUAAAGUUAUGGUGCAAAAACCAAAAUAAUGCUUAUUUGGGCCCCUUUUUGGCCCCUAAUUCAUAAACUGUUGUGACCUCAACUCCAAAAAUCAAUCCCAACCUUCCUUUUGUGGUCAUAAACCUUGUGUUAAAAUUUCAUUGAUUUCUAUUUACUUAUACUAAAGUUAUUGUGCGAAAACCAAGAAUAAUGCUUAUUUGGGCCCUUUUUUGGCCCUUAAUUCCUAAACUCAUGGAACCA
This 349-nucleotide long non-coding RNA is filed under the name Mytilus galloprovincialis (Mediterranean mussel). The record is from RNAcentral. Lineage: Eukaryota; Metazoa; Mollusca; Bivalvia; Mytilida; Mytilidae.